Molecule: long non-coding RNA, 531 nt
Organism: Austrofundulus limnaeus
Lineage: Eukaryota; Metazoa; Chordata; Actinopteri; Cyprinodontiformes; Rivulidae
Exons: 3
Source: RefSeq, a predicted model, not a curated record
UCUACUCAGAAAGGUCCCAGGGCCGGGAUUUGAACCGGCAACCUUCUUGCUGAGAGGUAUCAGCUCUACCAACUGAUUCAAGACUACCACCUGUACCAUUUUAAAGAACAGCCUGUACCGAGCCGGACUCCCUCCCACCGCUCUCUGACUGGCUGCCUCCUCAGUGGUCUGCUUUCUUUUGCCCCGCUACGAUUGGAGACUUGGACUGUCAAAGCAGCAACGCCGGACCGAAGGGAUUCUGCAGAGAGGGCCUGAACGUGCACAGCGAGUCCCAAGAAACAAAUGAACAGAAAUGUUCUUUAAAACCUCCUGAGCUGCUUCAGAUCGAAGCCACAGACGCAUCACUUAUAACCAAACUCAUUGUUUUUAUCUAAUACUACGAUCAAUGUGUGUCUGUAAGCAAAAGAUCUCAAUGAAUUCAGUCUGAUUUGAGUGAAACUUUACAUGCAAUCAUCAGAUGAAAGUCUACUGCUGAUUAAAUCAGAGCCAAACGCAAAAUGGUCAAAAUGAGCUAAAACUAUAGAGUUGUCC